UUAUGUAGUUGAGAGCAUUUGGACAAGAGACAGCGAGGCGGCGAAGGAGUUCCUCGUUCACUUCUCGAGUUCUCCUUAAGUUUAUGAGCUUUAUAGCAAUUCAAACCGUUUUGAAUCCAAACAUAUUGUAAAUAUGGAUCAGUCCUACUUAUUCUCAUUGCAUACUGGGAUUUCAACUAAAAAGGUAAAAAAAAAAGGAAAAUGAAACGUGUCAACUGCUUUCGAACAGACGCAUCGCCCAAAAGCCAAAUUUCCAUAUUUGAAGGAGACUUCGUGGUGGUCUUCAGAAGACGAUGGACAACAGCUUGCCAAAACGCUACAGCAUUGAUUUCAGCAAAAGUGAAGUAAACGUUGAGCUAUUUCGGAUAGAAAUUCGCGUCAAAACUUGUUUGAGUGUGGCUUACAAGCCCACAGAUUCUGUUUUGAAGGUUACAUGUUUGCAAAAGCUAUAGUAGUCACGCCAUGAAUGGCUAUCACUAGAAACUCUACUUCUAUUUAACAAUUCAAAAGCAUAGGCAAUUAUCAGUUGAAGCAUUUAUUUUCCCAGAUUAAUUUGUGCUNUUCUAUAGUNAGUUUGUUUAAAUUUUCAGCACGCAAAUAUUUAGCUCAAAUAUUGACACAUACCGAAUAAUUCUGCCGCCAUCUUUGCUAAAAAUCCGUGACGAAAAUGAAUGAANUUGGGAAUUGUGAUACAAAUUUUGAANCAAAUAAUGCACUUCUUUGNUGACCUGGAUGAUUUUUACUGGAAGAUUUAGUUGAAGAAGUCAAAGUUCUCGUGAAAUGCGUAGGAAAUGGCGUUGUUCGUGUCGAACGAUUGUUUUGAAAGUAAACCAAGUGAACUAGAAGAACUAUAUUCUCUCCAAAUAAAACCGUGAGAAAAAAUUACGAAAGAAGAGCUGUAAGAAAACUAUCUUACAAUCAAGGAAAAAUAGACUCCAUCACCUUUUUGUUGUGAUUUAGCAAAAGAUAAAUUAAACAACUCAAGAAAUUCAGUUUUAAUUGCUUUACUCCCUAUGAAAUUUCUGCGUUGAAGAGACCGACGAAUUUAAUCAAAAUACUAUAUUGAUAUGGUGUUCUGGUUGCCAUGCAGUCCAAUCAAGUUUUAUAUCAUUAAAUAAUAACUUUAUGCACAAAAAUAAAAAUUGAAAAUCAUG
RNAcentral lists this long non-coding RNA (1154 nucleotides) under Exaiptasia diaphana. RNAcentral's name for it is "uncharacterized LOC114574703". The record is from RNAcentral. Lineage: Eukaryota; Metazoa; Cnidaria; Anthozoa; Actiniaria; Aiptasiidae.